UGGCGGCAGGCCUAACACAUGCGAGUCGAGCGGAAACGAGUUAUCUGAACCUUCGGGGAACGAUAACGGCGUCGAGCGGCGGACGGGUGAGUAAUGCCUGGGAAAUUGCCCUGAUGUGGGGGAUAACCAUUGGAAACGAUGGCUAAUACCGCAUAAUAGCUUCGGCUCAAAGAGGGGGACCUUCGGGCCUCUCGCGUCAGGAUAUGCCCAGGUGGGAUUAGCUAGUUGGUGAGGUAAAGGCUCACCAAGGCAACGAUCCCUAGCUGGUCUGAGAGGAUGAUCAGCCACACUGGAACUGAGACACGGUCCAGACUCCUACGGGAGGCAGCAGUGGGGAAUAUUGCACAAUGGGCGCAAGCCUGAUGCAGCCAUGCCGCGUGUAUGAAGAAGGCCUUCGGGUUGUAAAGUACUUUCAGCAGUGAGGAAGGCGGAUACUUUAAUAGCGUAUUCGUUUGACGUUAGCUGCAGAAGAAGCACCGGCUAA
Molecule: ribosomal RNA, 484 nt
Filed under: marine sediment bacterium ISA-2713
Lineage: Bacteria
Description: bacterial SSU rRNA
Rfam family: Bacterial small subunit ribosomal RNA
Source: RNAcentral